This is a long non-coding RNA of Stylophora pistillata, 1260 nucleotides long. Lineage: Eukaryota; Metazoa; Cnidaria; Anthozoa; Scleractinia; Pocilloporidae. The record is from RefSeq and is a predicted model, not a curated record.
GAACGGUGAAAAUUGUAAUUGGUGUAUCGUAAAACUUAUCGUAAGGAAUUGUUUAAUCAUCACUUAAGCAGCGAACUGUCUUGCUGGCUAGCACAGCUCUGUGAACCGGAUACGAACUCUUUGUCCACUUGGUUCUUACCAGCCCUCUGAUGGUUCGAUGGAUUGCCUUCCCUGUGGACAAGGUUUUACCACAGCCUCGCCAGGAGCUGUCGGUGAAUAGCAGCGUGAACCUAAGCUAUCGCUGUCUGCUACAACAUUUACAACUAGUUUCCAGACUUUGUCGAUCAAAUCAUGUAGAAUUUCAACGUUUAAAAGAUUAUGAACUGAUUGUGUAUAUUUGCUUUGAACAUGACAGAGGAAAAAAUCAGUUUCAUUCAAAAACCAGUUACUGAAGACAAGACAACCAUUUCUACACCAUUGGCGACAUCGUGAAAUUUUGAAUUGAAGGUAGGUAUAUCUUAAGAAUUUUGAACUCGCAAGAAGACAACAAGGCGAUCUGGCAGUUUUCUUAAUGUUCUCAGUUAGAAACUGGGAUGUUGAAACUUUACGAUGGCAAAUGGUGAGUUGGCUGACAAGGAGAGGCUCAUUUGGAAGCUGUUUGUCACCGGUGCUUUGUAGUUAUUUGUCGCGCGCCAUUGGUAAUUGCCAAUGGGCUCCUCUUCCUAUGUCUUUCGUUUCUCUUACCAGACAAGCACCAAUGAACAGCCUGGAACGAAAACUCAAGAAGAGGCUAAAAACCAUGAAAAUGCUGAAGAGUUACCAUGGAAACUUCCCGUCAUCAUUGGUGCAACAUCACUUGUAGUGCUAGCGCUAGGUGCCACACUUUUGGUAUUCCUCACCUGUAGGAGACGGAGACCUAAAAUAAAACCAAGGACCGGCGGCGAAGUUUGACAAUCCAAUCUACGCAUGCGCCAAACAAGAGCCAGAAGACAACGAACAGUGAUUAGUGGACGAGUCAGGGCAGGCUGCAUUCAGCCGUACGCGUGAAGAUGGUCCUGGAGAAUAUAAUGACUAGACUGGGGACUUCAAAACCAAGGAUGCUCUGAAGGACUUUACCACUGAACCGAUAUCUGAAAAUUUCGCAUCGUCCUCAGAAGAGAAAACCACAUUAAGUUUUACAAACCCAUGCUUCCAGUGAGGCAGCGAUGGCUCAUUGUGUUUGAUCAAGAGAUCAAAUGAUUUCUUGCUUUAGUUAUUUAUAUCCCUUUCUAUUACACGACUCGGGCAGUCAGAGGGCCAAUAACUAAAAUCAACCAAUCA